Molecule: long non-coding RNA, 325 nt
Filed under: Mytilus galloprovincialis (Mediterranean mussel)
Lineage: Eukaryota; Metazoa; Mollusca; Bivalvia; Mytilida; Mytilidae
Source: RNAcentral
UAAUUGUUAAUGUGUCCUUUCAUCAGUCCUUGAAGUGUGCUAGAAGUGUGUUACUGAAGAUCCAUUGAUAAAUCUAUCAACAAGAGAUAGGAGGAGUUAUUUUAAACUAUAAAUUCAAUGAACUUAUGUCAUACAGGCUUAUAAAAGUACUGGUUUGUUGAAAAAUUAUCAAAAAAAUGAUGCCAACAUAUUAUAUUUUAUCCUAUUUAGGGUAGCUAGUUGACAAGUUUACUCUUUUAUUAUUUUCAAUAUUAAAAGUUCAUUUUGUUCAUAUUUAUGUAUACUAUAUAGAAACUGUAUUGUUAUAAUUUGUUAGUUCACUAAA